CUUUGAUGUGAUCAUGGAAAGCACAAAGGACUUGGAAUUU
RNAcentral lists this small RNA (40 nucleotides) under Arabidopsis thaliana (thale cress). RNAcentral describes it as "ATSL039190". The record is from RNAcentral. Lineage: Eukaryota; Viridiplantae; Streptophyta; Magnoliopsida; Brassicales; Brassicaceae.